Molecule: non-coding RNA, 222 nt
Organism: Vicia faba (fava bean)
Lineage: Eukaryota; Viridiplantae; Streptophyta; Magnoliopsida; Fabales; Fabaceae
Source: the annotation of a GenBank genome assembly
AUGUUCCUCAGGGAUGAGCAUAUCAACAAACCUUUCUUAUUUAAAGAGGGUUCUGUCUUUACAUGUAUAGAGCUUGUAGUCUUUCUCUUUGGGUUUUGGCAUGACCACUUCAUUCCUUCCCACCAGCAGUUUCCUCUGUCAGUCUGUCUUUUUCCAACAAUUAGACCCCUGCCGCAAGAGCUGGAUUUUGCUCUCUUUUUUUGUGGCUCACUUGAGAAUUAG